GUCUCCCUUUGACAUAGAGCCCCUAAUGAUGGUGCGCCUUGGUUUUAUUCACUCAGACAUGGACAUGAGCAAUUAGAGUUACACAAUGAUUCAUCUGUCUCCCACUCUCCAUGGUACUACUUCUCCAGGUAAACAACUUAACCUCAGGUUUUUCUACUUUUCCCUGCAGCGUGUUAGCACGCUUGCAUGCCCGCUUCCUUCUCAGUGCUCACCGAGGAGGCCAAUUAGGCCUCGUUCUUCCCAUCUGAUCUCCAUACAUCAAUGUCAAUCCAGGAUAUUUAUUUAUUUAUUUAUUUAUUUACUUACUUACUUAUUUAUUGGUACCAGGGAUCAAACUCAGGACCUUGCGCUUGCGAGGCAGGCGUGGGCACCACUGAGCUGAAUCCCCAGCCCCAAGGAAUUUUUCAAGAUAUUAAUGUUGAGUAAUUCAGGAAAGCAAAAGUUCUAGACCUGUGGUGGUAAACCUAUGGCAUGUGUGCUGCAGUGGGCACAAAGAGCCCUCUCUGUCAACAGGCAAGCCAAGUCACCCCAGCAGCCGAGCAUCAGAUGAAGGUGGGUCUUUUUCUAAACUAAAACCUCAGUAUCCAGGUUUAAUCACAGUGUUGGCACUUUGUGAUAAGUGGGUUUUGGCUUGCAGUUUGGGCACUCAUCUCUAAAAGGUUCCCUCCCUAUCACUGUUCUAGACCAAUCACAACUGAACCAGUCAGCAAAGUGCGGCAGGAAUGGGGUAUUAUAUGUUAAAUAUGGAUUAUAAGAUCACUUUUGGACUAGUCAAUUCUACCUGAGAGUGGGAGAAAAUAUUUGUAACAAUCUAGUUGCUUUUGUACGAGCCAGAGGGUUAGAAAGGAGAGAAGAGCGGGUUACAGAAAAGGAAAAGAGUGACAUGCUGCUAAGAAAAGCGUUUACUAUAGAAGAAAAAGCCAAGAGGAGCUUAAAAUCACACAUAAGUGAAUAACUAGACAGAUUGACCAACCUAGACAUUGUAAGAUGAAUAAGCUCUAGAAACAACAGAGUAUAUACAAGC
This 1024-nucleotide long non-coding RNA is filed under the name Heterocephalus glaber (naked mole-rat). RNAcentral's name for it is "lncRNA (ENSHGLG00100045131.1)". The record is from RNAcentral. Lineage: Eukaryota; Metazoa; Chordata; Mammalia; Rodentia; Bathyergidae.